This 660-nucleotide long non-coding RNA is filed under the name Lynx canadensis (Canada lynx). RNAcentral describes it as "lncRNA (ENSLCNG00005021437.1)". The record is from RNAcentral. Lineage: Eukaryota; Metazoa; Chordata; Mammalia; Carnivora; Felidae.
UGAAUAUUCUUUAGUCUUCUCUUUCCUUUCCUUGUCUCUCCGUGAUUACCCGCUGCUUCCUUCAUGACUCCUCUGGACGCCUGCAAGAGCCCCAUCAGCAGAGAGAAAUAAUGACUCCCGAAACAGUUCACAAUCAAAAGUUAAAACGAUGUUUCAGUGAUGCUACAUCAUGCCAGGUGAAAAGAAUGUGGACGUGAGAUACCGAAUAAGAAGGCAGAUGACAAGACCCUGGUAUUACCCAUGAAUUGUGUGCCUAAGCCAACUGGGUAAGCUUCAGGCCAUUCUUUGCUUUCCGGGGAAGCGUCUAGAUGCUGAUCCUUUCUGAUAAAAAAAACGGGUAGUAGUGAGGAAUUCUGUCCGGGGGCUGGAUGAUCAGUCCCUUCCAUUGUGCUUUCUGCUUCCCCAGUCCUGAUUUAUCAUUUGGAAGUCAGUUCUAGUUGAGCACUGAGGAGAAAGGCCAUAUAAACACAAUGCAUUACUCUCCGACAGCCUGUAACUGACUAGGCAGCAAUUGAUUAGGUUGCUUAUCCUUAAACGAAAGCAUUUCUUAAGAGGUGAUCGUUUUUCUACGGGUUCUCUUAUAUAGUAUAUGCUACAAGUUCCAGUAAGUCACUCCCAGCCCCCCACUGCGUCAAGCGAAGAUAUCUCUUAGGUCACUCC